CCUGACGGUAGUCGUAUGCUCGUCUCCGAGACUAAGCCAUGCAAGUCCAAGUACACGUCCUUGAACGACGGAAACUGCGAACGGCUCAUUAAAUCAGUUGCGAUCUACUCGGCGUUCCGCGCCGCCGGAUAACCGUAGUAAUUCUAGGGCUAAUACGUGCGAAGCGCCCGAAGCCGCGAGGCGACGGGCGUUCUCGCCGGAUGUAGGAACCGACCCGGGGACCGCCGGGGCAACCCGGCGCCCCCGAGACGGGGCGAACCACGGUGAAAUGACGGAUCGUCGGCCCCGCGCCGGCGACUCGCCGAAUGAGUUUCUGACCUAUCAACUCGAGACGGCGGGGUAGAGGCCCGCCGCGGUAACGACGGGUAACGGGGAAUCAGGGUUCGAUUCCGGAGAGGGAGCCCGAGAAACGGCUACCACUUCCAAGGAAGGCAGCAGGCG
This 441-nucleotide ribosomal RNA is filed under the name uncultured eukaryote. Its description in RNAcentral is "bacterial SSU rRNA". It matches the Rfam family "Eukaryotic small subunit ribosomal RNA", at positions 13 to 434 of the family's 1831-position model. The record is from RNAcentral.